UUUCUCCACCUCACUUUUCUCUCUCUGGACAUUGCCAUUAUCGCUAAAAAAAAAAAUCCCUGAAAAAUCACAAUCUCCCCUUUCUAUUCUCUCUGGCAUUAUCUCUCUCUCCUUCUUCGAUCUCCCCCUCCCUUCCUCUUUCAAUUUGACCAAAUCAGAUGUGUUCUUCAAUCUAUCAUAUGAAAUCGAUAAUGAACAAUCAUAUGAAUCAACAAUCAUAUGGGGAAGAAACAAAAUAGGAGACAAGGCUGAAGAACUUCUUCACCCAUGGCGACGAUCUUCUUCACGAACCUUUUAGACGUCGGAUCAAACCCCUUAAGCAACAGAUUCUGUCAUUCUGAGGCACUCCAAGCUCUCUCAGAAUAGAGACAUUCCGUGUUCUGUUCUCUACUUCACAUUGUCAUGAUGGUGGAGAUUUGGGAGUCUGUGAACCCAUAGCUUCUCAGGAGUUUCAGGACCGAGUCUGGGUUUCGUUUCUCGUCGAAGCUGGCUUUUGAUGAGAUCGAUUCAGCCAGUUUUGGAGUUAGACCCAAGGAAGAUCCGGUAAGGAAGGUGUUGAUGCUCCAGAGAGAAGUAGAGCAGCUUGGCAGAUUAUACAAGAUUAUUUAAUGCUGUUUGUGGAACGGGAGAGAUACCAGAUUCCAAGCACGUGCAGGCUCCAUCCUGAUAACAAUCUGUACAGGGAUCAAGAACAGCAUAAGGUCCACGUGGAUGUAUACGAGUGGAAGUGCGGUUACUGCAGGAAGAGUUUCAACGAGGAGAAGUUUCUUGACCAGCACUUCGCCACUAGACAUCAUAAUCUGCUGCAAAUAUGGUAGUUCGCUUGAGUGCUUUUGAGCUGAGAACUUUUGCUUGAUUGGGUUUCAGACUGGAACAAAAAUUUGGUUUAUGCUGAGCCGAACCGGUCUGGUGGAGGUCGUACCUAAGAGCCACAACAAGUUCUUGGCCAAUAUGGUUGGUGUUCACGAAGAGGUAGUGUUGUUACUUCUCUUUAUCCACUUGAUUCGCCAUUGAAAUCGACGGAGGAGAAAGAGGUGGAACACAUAGAUAGGGAGAUAACGGAUUUGGAUCAAUGGAUAUCCAAGGUUAAAGACGGUCAGCAUCUCUCAGAGGACGAGCUUCAGCUUCUUUGCGAAUACGAGAUUGCUUACGACCAAAGCUUCAGAGCUGCUCUUCAAGCUGGUAUCGACAAGCUUGCUGCUGCUGUUGGUCUCACUCUUGGCCCUAGAGGGAGGAAUGUUGUGUUGGAUGAGUUUGGAAGUCCCAAAGUUGUGAAUGAUGGAGUCAUUCAAGUUAGGAAAGAUUUGGUCCCAAGGUUGUGAAUAAAGGAGUCAUUCAAAUCUAUUGUGAAUGAUGGAGUCAUUCAACCUAAUGACCUAAAUCAAUUUAAAAACUAAUCAAACCAAGAAAAAAGUAGGAGACAAAUAUCAUCAAAAAAAACAAAAUGAGGAAUGAGCUAAGUGAUUGGGUGUAGGGGAAGAGAGAAGACAAAAAUUGGAACACUGGAAUAAAUCAAAUAGGCUAAGAGAACAAUGGUUACUGAAUCAACAUAUUUUUUACAAGGGGUGAUGAUUACGAACAAUGUGGAGGCUAGCAUAACAAAAAAAUAAGAAGAGGUCAGCAUCAAAACCAACAUAUUUGAAAUAUAUGUGCCUUAUCUGUAACAUAGUUCCUUAGUUCUCAUGAGUUUGAAAAUGCAUAGAUUUGUAAACUACCAAAAUCAUUAUGAGGAUGGCCAUAUCGGAAUGUUUACGAAGGCAGCAAUACCCAAGAAUGGUCGUUGAGAAAGAGAAUGGUGGACGAUGGUAGUGACAGAUUUCAAAACGAACGAUCUCUUUAAAUGGUGUGAGUUGUGUGGUUUCAUGAAAAAUGAGUGUGUAUUGUAUCCAUCCAAAAUUAUAGAAUGCGAUAUGAUAAUGGUGCGACUGCACAUUUAAAGUUAUGAAACAAGCAGAGAAACAAGGUCAAUCAUUAAGGAUAUCAUUUACAAAGGAACCAAACAAUCUCGAAUACAAAAAUACUGGAAUUUUCAUUCCAUUUAUUAACAAAAAUGCAUAUUUGAAUUCUUAAAAACUAACCAAACAAAAUAGAAUAGUUAAAUAAAUCAGCCAUGUCAAAAACUGUUGAGC
Long non-coding RNA from Raphanus sativus (radish), 2129 nucleotides. RefSeq lists it as uncharacterized. Lineage: Eukaryota; Viridiplantae; Streptophyta; Magnoliopsida; Brassicales; Brassicaceae. The record is from RefSeq and is a predicted model, not a curated record. The transcript is spliced from 6 exons.